Non-coding RNA from Rattus norvegicus (Norway rat), 6545 nucleotides. NCBI's taxonomy places the organism in Eukaryota, Metazoa, Chordata, Mammalia, Rodentia, Muridae. The record is from RefSeq and is a predicted model, not a curated record.
AGCUCCUUCUGUGAGGUCAUAAGUGUUGUUGUGACAGCACUUGCUUCUUAGAUAUUCCUUCAGUACCUCUAGGGCUUACUAAUUGGCCUUUAAUUCAGAGUGAACAGCCAUUUUUGAGGGAGAAAAGGAAGAUGAAGAGAUCAGAGAUGGAAAGAAGGAAGAUGCCCUUCUGUCUUGGUGUUAAAAAAGGAAGAAAUACGUGGUCCAUUGGAGAGCUAAAUUAGUCCUGGAUUUUUAGGUGCUGAAGACAAAGAGAAGACACACAGAAGGACUGAGACAGAGGGUCUGAACUGGAAGGACAGAGACAGAUGGACAGAGCAGGAGAGGGGAUGACCUGAAAAGACCAGUUUGAGAUAAGGAGAACAAAGGACCAUUUUCUUCUUGACAAAAAGAAUAAGGCUAUGAGAUCUCAGCAAAACAACUGUGCCCUGCCCAUCACUUGGCUUUGGAAUAAAAAAAAUAAUGAUAUAAACUCUUUGACUUCCAGGAAUGAUAUGAACAGGAACUGUAAGAGCAGGAAGUCCACAUGCUUCUGAGAGGACCCCAGCUCCUAAUUCCCAUUUGUAGAUGGCUCAGAUCAAGACAAUCUCUUCAUGAAACAACACAACACCUACUAAGGACUCAGAGAGCUUUCCCAAGGACCUUUUUUGUACCAAGACAGAAGGUCAGCUUUCUUCUCCCCAUCUCUGAUAUCUUCAUCCUAUUUGUCCUCCCUCCCAAAUGGCUCUUUACACUGAAUUAUAGGCCAAUUAGUAAACCAUAGAUAUAUGGAAUGAAUAUCUGAGAGGCAGUUGCUGUCAGGACAACACUUGUGACAACACAGAAGAAGAUAGGGCUCUCAAGGAUACAAGAGAUAUAUUACGGGGGUACUAAGGAUGAUGUCACUGAGAACUGCCAUGGACUACCUGCUAAACAGAUUUCCUUACAUUGACCAGAUUUGACGGUGCCCUUUCUAGGAGAGUCUCCUAUGACACAGUGGAAACCUUUUGUACUCCAUCUUUCUAACGCUAGAGACUUCUCUUUGCUGCAUUAGUAUUUACAUGGUCUGAAUGGACAAAAUUAAUCGGGACUUGGCAUGGGUAGAAAAGAUCUAGGAAGAUGGAGUGGAGGAGAUUCUUCUUGAUAAUAAUUUUGCUCCCUGGUCCAUUCCUGUGACAUACAGUUCAAUUUCCUAGUUUUUCUCUGUUUCCCAAAGGCCAUUAUUUUCCAUACAGACCUUUAAUUGAGUGAAUAUUGUAUUUCAUUUUCUAAUUCUUCAUUCCUAGAUAGGGCACUUUGUAUUCAUUCCUGAAAGUGUACUCAAAAAUUCUCUUUUACAGUUGCAUUUUUGUAAUGAUUUUGGCAAAAAAGAGGGCCGAAGUAUAGAGUGCAGAGAACAGUGUAAAUAUUUUGUACCUACUUCAAAUGAUAAACUCCAAAUUCUUAUUUUAUCCAAAAAUCAUCAUACAUCAGUAAAUCAAAGACAACAUGUACUAUACAAUUCGUUUCUCUAUUCCCAUUUGAUAUCAUUUCUGCAAUAUCUUCCUUCUUGUGUUCCCAUGGCCACACUUGAGGUUUUUGGAUAUUUUACAAUGAUUCUUUUUUCAGGCCAAACAUAAGACUUAGGUGGAUGGGCAGGGAAAGAAAUGUUUUGAGUUCAACUGAAACCUCAAUUUCAAUAAGUUCAUAAUGACAGGAGGGACCUUUGCAUCUGUAGAUUCUACAUUCUUGUUCUAGAUGCGCAGAAUCAAUGGUAAAUUCCAUCUAACCUCACAUAGGAGCCAAUAUAUAUAUGAUAGAUAGAUAGAUAGAUAGAUAGAUAGAUAGAUAGAUAGAUAGAUAGAUAGAUAGAUAGAUAGAUCUGCCACCAAAAUAAGAUAAGAUUGUUGAAGUUAAGAAGUGCAUUCUGCCAGGAAGAGGAUAUAGACAUUUCCUGAGAAACACAGCUAGAAUAUGUCAAUUACAUAAGUGAAUGCUUGUGGCAAACCAGUUACUUGUAAAUGGAACUCUUGUUGAUAACUUUUGAGAAAGGAUUACAAGAGGUAAAGGGGUUUGCAAACCCAUAAGAAAAACAAUGUCAAUGAACCAGAGCUUUCUAGUACUAGACCAAUAUUCAACGAAUGUACAUGGACAUACCUAUGGCUCCCACUGCAUAUUUAGUACCAGAUGGCCUUCUUGGGAACCAACAGAAGUAGAAGCUCUUGGUCCUCCCUAUAUUUGAUUCACAGUUCAUGGGAAUGCAAAGGGGUAGUAAGGGGAUUAUAGUAGAAUGGGAGGUGGACUGGUUAGGGAUCUUAGAGACAGGAAAUUGGAAAAGGAAUAACAUUUGUAAUGUAAAUAUAGAAAUAUCAAAUUUAAAAAAGCUAUAUAUUUUGCUAAAAAAGAAAAAAAUGAAAGAAAUAAAAGAAAAGAAAACUGCCAAUUAAUUACACCCUUUGACUCAGAAAUCUAAAGGGUCACUGUCAGGGAAUGAUAGUCAGAGUAAUACUAGUUCAAAGAUGAAGAUGGUGAAAUCUCAAAUAGAAGCAAUUUUCUCUCCCAGAUAUCAGUGUCAGACACAAUCUGCACUCUAGGAAUCCAAAGCACGGAGUAAUUUACUCUGAGCUGAGGACACAAUACUUGUCUUUCCCUUCUUCCUUAGGACCAAAACCAUCAGCUUUAAAGAAAACUGUGCCCUUCCCAACACUUGGCUUUGGAAAAAAGACAUGAAUGAUAUAAAUUCUCCGACUUCCAGGAACCAUAACUAGCAGGGAAGUCCAGAUGCAUCUGAGAGGCUCCCAUCUCCUGAUUACCAUAUUUGGAAGGCUCCAAUCAAUACUAUCUUUUCAGCAAACCUUCUCAACCACUACCCAGAAAUGACUGAGAUUUCCCAUGGACCACAUAUUUCUUUUUUUUUAUAACAAAGCAGAAGGCCAGCUUCCUUCUUCCCAUCUUUGAUCACUUCAUCCUCUUUUUUCUCCUUCCCAAAGGCUGUUUAUGCUGAAUUAGAGGCCAAAUAGUAAACCCUAGAGGUACUGAAGGACUACUGGAGAGGCAACUUCUGUCAGGACAACACUUGUUACAUCACAGAAGAAACUAGGGAUCUCCAGGAUACAACAGAUUUUUUUAGAUAGGCCUAAUGGUGAUGUCACUGAGAAUUGCCAUGGCCUACCUGCUAAAGUGUUUUCCUUUCAAUGACCAGAUUCGAGGGUGCCCUUGCAAGGUUUGUCUCCUGUGAAACAAUGGAAACCUUUUCAUACUACAUGUCUUUAAAGCUAGAAAUUUCUCUUUAUUUCCUUAGUGGUUACAUGCUCUGAAAGGAAAAGAUAAUCAGGAGCUUUGCAUGGGUAGAAAAGAUCUCGGAACAUGGAGUGGAAGAGAUUCCUCUGGAUAAUAAUUUUAUUACCAGGUCCAUUACUAUGACAUACAGUUCAAUAUCCUAGGUUAUCUCUGUUUCCCAAAGGCCAGCAUUUUCCCUACAAUCCUUUAAUUGAAUUCAUAUUUCAUUACAGUUUCUCAUUGUACAUUCCUUGAUAGGUGACUUUAUAUAUUCCUGAAUGUGAAGUGAAAAAUUCUGUUUUCCAAUUUCAUGUUUUUUUGCAAUGAUUUUGGCAACCCAAGGGUCCCACCUAACGUUGAAUAUAAAAAUGUAAAUAUUAUGUACCUACUUCCAAUGAUGAACUUCCAAAUCCUUAGUUUAUCCAAAAAUUUCCAGACAUCAGAAAAGCUAAGGAAAACAUGAAAUAUAGAAUAUGGUUCAGUAGUCUCAUUAGACAUCAGUUCUUUAAUAUCUAACUUCCUGUUCCUCUAGGACCAGACGUGAAGGUUUUCGAGGUUUUACCAUGGUUGUUACUUCAGGACAAACAUAAAAUUCAGGAGGAUGUUCAGGGAGAUGAAUGGCUUAAUGUCCAGGGAAACUUCAACUUCAAUAGGUUCAUAAGAACAAGAGGGAGGUGUUUGGAAUUGCCAUUUGUGGAUUCUACAUUCUUGACCUAGGUGUACAUAAUCCAUGUGAAAAUUCCACCUAACCUCAUAGCUGUAGGAGCCACCAAAUGUAUAGUUGGAACCAGAUGUACAUCUUUCCUGAGAGACACAGCUUGAGCAAGUCAAAUACAGAAGAGAAUGCUACUGGCAAACCAGUGAACCAAAAAUGGAUCUCUUGUUGGUAGUUUUUGAGAAAGAAUUACAAGAGCUUAAGGGGAUUUCAAUUCCAUAAGAACAACAAUGCCAGUGAACCAGAGCUUUCUGGUACUAAACCAAUAUUCAAAGACUGUACUUGGACAGACCUAUGUGUCCAACUGCAUAUGUAGCAGUGGAUGGCCUUGUUGGGAACCAAUGGAAGGAGAAGUUCCUGGUCCAACCUAGGUUUAACUCUCAGUUCAAGGUAAUAUCAAGGUUCACUAAGGUAGGUUAUAGAAGAAUGUUAGGUGGACUAGUUACGGGUCUUAUGGACAUGAAACUGGGAAAGAAAAUCAAAUUUGAAAUUCAAAUAUAGAAAUAUCCAAAUAAAAAAAGCAAUAAAAUUUGCUAAAAAUUAAAAAAAAAUGAAAUAAAUUAAAGAAAAGACAUCUGUCAGCUAAUUACACAUAUUGACUCAGAAAUCUAAAGGGUAACUAUCAGGAAAUGGUAAUCAGAGUAAUACUAGUGGAAAGACUGAGAUGAUGAAGUCUCAACUAGAAGCUCUUCUCUCCCAAAUAUCAGUGUCAGACACAAACUGCACUAUAGGUAUCCAAAGCAUGGAGGCGUUUACACUGAGCUGAGGAGACAAUACUUGUCUAUCCUUUGUUUCUUCGGACCUUUUUCUUCAGGGCAAAAAGAGUGAAAGCCAUGAGCUCUCACUAGAACAACUGUGCCCUUCCCAACAACUGACUUUUGGAAUGAAGAAAAUGAUUAUAUAAACUCUCUGAAUUCCAGAAACCAUAUCAAGCAGGGAAGUCCAGAUGAUAAUGAGAGAAUCCCAGCUCUGGAUUCCCAUGUGUGUAAGGCUCAGAUCAAGGCUAUCUCUUCAGAUACAACACUCAACGCCUACCCAAGACUCACUGAGCUUUCCCAUGGACCAUUUAUUUCUUCCUUUUUUUAUACAAAGAGAGAAGGCCAGCUUCCUUCUCUUUUAUCUCCCUAACAAAUGGCUGUUUAGCCAGAAUAAGAGGUCAAUGAGUUAACCCUAGAGGUCCUCAAAGAAUAUCCAAGAGGCAGUUGCUGUCACCAUGACACUUGUGACAUCACAAAAAAGCUAGAGCUCUUCAGGAUACAAGAGAUAUUUCAGGGAGGACCUAAUGAUGAUGUCACUGAGAACUGCCAUGAUCUAACUGUUGAACAGCUUUCUUUACAUUGACCAGAUUUGAGGGUUCCCUUUCCAAGAGUGUCUCUUGUGACACACUGGAAACCUUUAAAUACUAUAUAUCUCUAAUGCUGGAGACUUCUCUUUGCUUCAUUAGUACGUACAUGUUCGGAAUAGAGAAUGUUGGUCAGGGGCUUGGCAUGGGUAUAAAGAUCUAGGAACAUGGGGUGAAGGAGAUUAUUCUGGAUAAUAAUUCCACUCCCAGUUCCAUUCCUGUGACAUACAGUUCAAGUUCCUAGGUUUUCUCUGUUUCCCAAAGUCCAAUAUUUUCCUUCCAGACAUUUAGGUGAAUGAAUAUUGUAUUACAUUUUUUUAUUGUACAUUCUUUGAAAGGAGACUUUAUAUAUAUUACUGAAUGUGUACUCAAAUAUUCUGUUUUCCAAUUUUAAUUUUUGCAAUAAUAUUGGCAACAAAGUUGGCCCAGCUAAAGCAUGAAUAUAACAGUAUAAAUAUUGUAUACCUACUUCAAAUGAUAAUCUCUCAAAUCCUUAAUUUAAGCAAAAAUUACCAGCCAUCAGUAAAGCAAAGGACAAUAUGGACUUUAGAAUGCGGUUCAGAUUUUCUUUUAGGCUUGAAAAAUUUUGCGAAGAAGGUUUUGUGGGUGUAUUUGUGUCUUUAUCCCUCCAUUGCUGGUCUUUCCAGUCAAUGGGAUUUGGCCUCUUAAUGUUUCAUAUCACCAAUGUACGUCACAGCUUAGGUCACCCCAUUGAUUCGUGGGUACCUCCAUUAUACCAGGUCUCUUUCUCUUCCUGGAGGUUUCUCCCACCUCCUCAUCUCUUAAAGUUCAAGAUUUCCUUUCUUUCUCAUGACUAUCGGGUCCUAUCUCCUGUCCCUUCACACACAGGAUCCAUUCUCCUCUUCCUUCCAUCUCUCAUCUAGUUCCUUUCCUCAAUCGGCCUCCUAGACUAUUUUAUUCCCCAUUCUAAGUGAGAGUCAAUCUUAUGCACUUUGGCCAUUCUUCUUGUUUAUCUUCUUUGUACCUUUAAGCUUUGUGGAGGAUGUCCUGUAGUUUAUGGAUAAUAUUACUUAUAAUUGAGCAAUUUCAACAACCCUCUUGAUCAUAUUUUACAGUAGUAUGUUAAAAUUGAAAAUUAUAAUUUAGUAUGAGUGAAUGUCAUGAGGACCAAAUUUAAGUAAAAAGAAACUUAAAACAAGAUCAAAUCACAGAUUUUAAAAAUUGACCUAAUAAUAAAAAUUCUCUACUAUCAUAAGGAAUUAUUAUAUCACAGGCAAUUUUUAAGUGGUA